UCCCAUUGUCGACCCCCCCCCC
This 22-nucleotide non-coding RNA is filed under the name Mus musculus (house mouse). Lineage: Eukaryota; Metazoa; Chordata; Mammalia; Rodentia; Muridae. The record is from RNAcentral.